Dermochelys coriacea (leatherback sea turtle) is the source of this 164-nucleotide long non-coding RNA. RefSeq lists it as uncharacterized. The record is from RefSeq and is a predicted model, not a curated record. The transcript is spliced from 3 exons. Lineage: Eukaryota; Metazoa; Chordata; Testudines; Dermochelyidae.
UCCUGGAUGUGUCUAUGGACACAAGCCCUAUAGUCUGUAUGUCCCUAAACUUCCAACUCCCAGAAGCUGGGACUGCAUGACAGGGGCUGGAUCACUCAAAAUUGCCCUGUUCUGUUCAUUCCCUCUGAAGCAUCUGGCAAUGGCUGUUGUCAGGAAACAGGAUA